CCUACGGGGUGCAGCAGUGGGGAAUAUUGGACAAUGGGCGAAAGCCUGAUCCAGCCAUGCCGCGUGUGUGAAGAAGGCCUUCGGGUUGUAAAGCACUUUCAGUGGGGAAGAAAGCCUUGGGGCUAAUACCCUCGAGGAAGGACAUCACCAACAGAAGAAGCACCGGCUAACUCCGUGCCAGCAGCCGCGGUAAUACGGAGGGUGCGAGCGUUAAUCGGAAUUACUGGGCGUAAAGCGCGCGUAGGCGGUCUGAUAAGCCGGUUGUGAAAGCCCCGGGCUCAACCUGGGAACGGCAUCCGGAACUGUCAGGCUAGAGUGCAGGGGAGGAAGGUAGAAUUCCCGGUGUAGCGGUGAAAUGCGUAGAGAUCGGGAGGAAUACCAGUGGCGAAGGCGGCCUUCUGGACUGACACUGACGCUGAGGUGCGAAAGCGUGGGUAGCAAACAGGAUUAGAUACCCCGGUAGUC
This 465-nucleotide ribosomal RNA is filed under the name Vreelandella stevensii. RNAcentral describes it as "partial 16S ribosomal RNA". It matches the Rfam family "Bacterial small subunit ribosomal RNA", at positions 338 to 795 of the family's 1533-position model. The record is from RNAcentral. Lineage: Bacteria; Pseudomonadati; Pseudomonadota; Gammaproteobacteria; Oceanospirillales; Halomonadaceae.